This 1390-nucleotide unclassified non-coding RNA is filed under the name Polistes fuscatus (common paper wasp). RNAcentral's name for it is "rNA-binding protein lark, transcript variant X10". Lineage: Eukaryota; Metazoa; Arthropoda; Insecta; Hymenoptera; Vespidae. The record is from RNAcentral.
CGCUUUCCUCUUCCUCCCGGUCUGUUUCGGUACAGCCAUUUUUUAGUUCGGAAGCGUGUUAGUUCGCGUCGUGUAAUAUUACGUUGUUUUACUGAAUUUAUAGACUUGGUUCUAAUACGAGCCAAAAAUGCCAGGAUUUAGCAGCGUGGGUACAUUUAAAAUUUUCAUUGGUAACUUAGCUGAUAAAACAUCAAACGCUGAUAUCAAGCCACUUUUCGAAAAAUAUGGAAAAGUCGUAGAAUGUGAUGUUGUUAAAAAUUAUGGAUUUGUGCAUAUGGAGAAUGAAGAAGCUGGAAGAAAUGCAAUUCAGAAUUUGAAUGGACAAAUAGUUCAUGGACAGCCCAUAAAGUGUGAAGCUGCAAAGAGUCGUAAAGGACCCAAUACUCCUACAACAAAAAUUUUUGUUGGCAAUCUUACAGACAACACAAAAGCACCUCAAGUGCGCGAAUUGUUUGCUAAAUAUGGCACUGUCGUAGAAUGCGAUAUAGUGAGAAACUAUGGAUUCGUCCAUCUAGAAGCCACAGGUGACGUGAACGAUGCCAUCAAGGAGCUUAAUGGGCAAAUCGUCGAUGGUCAACCUAUGAAGGUUCAAAUUUCCACUAGCAGAGUACGACAAAGGCCAGGAAUGGGAGAUCCAGAACAAUGCUACCGAUGCGGACGUGGAGGCCAUUGGUCCAAGGAAUGUCCAAAAGGAGGAAUGGGAGGAGGACCCGACAGGAAUGGAUUUCGUGACAGAAUGUUUGGACGUGACCCGUAUCCUCCACCGCCGCCACCACCUUUCCUUCGGGACCGGCUAAUGGGUGGUGGCCGCUUUGGAGACUACGAAAGCUACUAUGACAGGAGGGGCUUCGACGACACCAGGGAUCUCUACGAGAGGCGGUUUACGGGUAUGACAGGGCCCUGUGACAUGGGAACAUCCAUGUGCGGGCUAGACUUUCCACCAAUGACAAUGCCACCUCUACCUCCAAGACGAGACCCAAUGCCUCCUAUGCCUCCUCUAGGUAUGGGAUCCAUGCGUGACACUGGCUUCUCCCGAGGCAACGAUUAUGGCAUGUUCAGCCGACGAUCACCCCCUCCAAGCGGCAACAACGGCCGGUUCAGUUUGCAAUGGAUGUGGGGGAAGCAAGCUUCCCUGCCAGUGGUCCUACGAAACCAGGGUCCCACCGGCACCACUUGGGUACAUAUUUCCGUGUAGGCUCUGCAGCGGAAGAGAGCGUGUUCUGCACCAUCCUGUUCGGCGCUGCAGUUCUAACAGAGCAAUUGGCACCGCUGAUGAAGUAGUUGCGCAUGAGGUAGCAUACAAUGCGAAUAAGUCACUUCACGCAUAUACGGACGUGGGAUAUUAAUUUUUUGUAAUAUUAUGCAUCAUGUAUUAAAGAGAAAAGCGAGC